UUUCCCCGGAAUUCCGGGCAAUUCCCGGGAAUUUUGCAGCUCCACCUGCUCCAUGUGGAGGGCGCUGGGGUCGGAGCCGGCGCUGAAUUCCCAAAUCCUGGAGCUGCUCCUGGAAAAGUUGGAUUCGGAAAUUCCCUACAAGGAGAAGAAAUUCCCGCUGGGAAACGGCGCCGAGCGCGUGGCCACGGCAACGGGGCUGGCGGUGAGUGGUCCAGGGGAUUCCCGGAAUUCCAGAGGGAUCCCAGAAUUCCAGAGGGAUUCCAGAAUUCCAGAGGGAUCCCAGAAUUCCAGAGGGAUCCCAGAAUUCCAGGGGGAUCCCAGAAUUCCAGGGGAAUUCCCAGAAUUCCAGAGGGAUUCCCGGAAUUCCAGAGGGAUUCCCAGAAUUCCAGAGGGAUUCCAGGGGGAUUUUCCAGGAAUUCCAUGGGAAUGGGUUGGGGGGAGGGAUUUGGGGGUUUGGGGAUGGAGGGAGGGGAAAAAUUCCCAGGGAAAAAUUCCCAAAGGGGGAAAUUCCCAAAGGAAAAAUUCCUAGGGAAAAAAUCCAGGGGGAAAAAAUUCCAAGGGGGGGGAAAUUCCCAGGGAAAACCCCAAAAACUUGGAAUUCUCAGCAGGAAAUUCCCCAAAUCCAUGGAAAUCCCAGCAGGAAAAAAACCCCCAAAUCUGGGAAUUCCCGGCAGGAAAAAUCCAAAGUCCAAGGAAAAAAAUCCAAAUCCAUGAAAAUUCCAGCAGGA
This 728-nucleotide long non-coding RNA is filed under the name Parus major (Great Tit). RNAcentral's name for it is "lncRNA (ENSPMJG00000002021.1)". Lineage: Eukaryota; Metazoa; Chordata; Aves; Passeriformes; Paridae. The record is from RNAcentral.